RNAcentral lists this ribosomal RNA (312 nucleotides) under Enterococcus faecium. Its description in RNAcentral is "partial 16S ribosomal RNA". It matches the Rfam family "Bacterial small subunit ribosomal RNA", at positions 1230 to 1533 of the family's 1533-position model. Lineage: Bacteria; Bacillati; Bacillota; Bacilli; Lactobacillales; Enterococcaceae. The record is from RNAcentral.
AUGGGAAGUACAACGAGUUGCGAAGUCGCGAGGCUAAGCUAAUCUCUUAAAGCUUCUCUCAGUUCGGAUUGCAGGCUGCAACUCGCCUGCAUGAAGCCGGAAUCGCUAGUAAUCGCGGAUCAGCACGCCGCGGUGAAUACGUUCCCGGGCCUUGUACACACCGCCCGUCACACCACGAGAGUUUGUAACACCCGAAGUCGGUGAGGUAACCUUUUGGAGCCAGCCGCCUAAGGUGGGAUAGAUGAUUGGGGUGAAGUCGUAACAAGGUAGCCGUAUCGGAAGGUGCGGCUGGAUCACCUCCUUUCUAAGGAA